GUCGACCGGCGCACGGGUGAGUAACGCGUAUCCAACCUGCCCACCACUUGGGGAUAACCUUUGCGAAAGUAAGACUAAUACCCAAUGAUAUCUCUAGAAGACAUCUGAAAGAGAUUAAAGAUUUAUCGGUGAUGGAUGGGGAUGCGUCUGAUUAGCUUGUUGGCGGGGUAACGGCCCACCAAGGCGACGAUCAGUAGGGGUUCUGAGAGGAAGGUCCCCCACAUUGGAACUGAGACACGGUCCAAACUCCUACGGGAGGCAGCAGUGAGGAAUAUUGGUCAAUGGGCGAGAGUCUGAACCAGCCAAGUAGCGUGCAGGAUGACGGCCCUAUGGGUUGUAAACUGCUUUUAUAAGGGAAUAAAGUGAGUCUCGUGAGACUUUUUGCAUGUACCUUAUGAAUAAGGACCGGCUAAUUCCGUGCCAGCAGCCGCGGUAAUACGGAAGGUCCGGGCGUUAUCCGGAUUUAUUGGGUUUAAAGGGAGCGUAGGCCGGAGAUUAAGCGUGUUGUGAAAUGUAGACGCUCAACGUCUGCACUGCAGCGCGAACUGGUUUCCUUGAGUACGCACAAAGUGGGCGGAAUUCGUGGUGUAGCGGUGAAAUGCUUAGAUAUCACGAAGAACCCCGAUUGCGAAGGCAGCUCACUGGAGCGCAACUGACGCUGAAGCUCGAAAGUGCGGGUAUCGAACAGGAUUAGAUACCCUGGUAGUCCGCACGGUAAACGAUGGAUGCCCGCUGUUGGUCUGAACAGGUCAGCGGCCAAGCGAAAGCAUUAAGCAUCCCACCUGGGGAGUAC
RNAcentral lists this ribosomal RNA (793 nucleotides) under uncultured bacterium. RNAcentral's name for it is "bacterial SSU rRNA". It matches the Rfam family "Bacterial small subunit ribosomal RNA", at positions 90 to 883 of the family's 1533-position model. The record is from RNAcentral.